Molecule: ribosomal RNA, 1435 nt
Filed under: metagenome
Description: bacterial SSU rRNA
Rfam family: Archaeal small subunit ribosomal RNA
Source: RNAcentral
UUGAUCCUGCGGAAGGUUGCUGCUAUUAGGGUUCGAUUUAGCCAUGCAAGUCGGAGGGUCUUCUUCGGAAGGCCCAGGCAAACUGCUCAGUAACACGUUGAUAAUCUGCCUUUAGGUCUGGUAUAACCUUGGAAAACUGAGGGUAAAACCGGAUAUGGGAAAAGGUCUGGAAUGAUCUUUCCCUGAAAAGCAAUGCCUAAAGAUGAGUCAGCGGCGGAUUAGAUUGUUGGUGGGGUAAUGGCCCACCAAGUCGACGAUCCGUAGGGGCCUUGAGAGAGGUAGCCCCGAGAAGGACACUGAGAUACUGGUCCUAGCCCUACGGGGUGCAGCAGGCGCGAAACCUUUACACUGCACGAAAGUGUGAUAAGGGAACCCUAAGUGCUAAUGCAAUAGCAUUAGCUUUUGCCAAGAGUAAAUAUCUUGGAGAAUAAGUGGUGGGUAAGACUGGUGCCAGCCGCCGCGGUAACACCAGCGCCACAAGUGGGAACCAGAUUUAUUUGGCCUAAAGCGUCCGUAGCUGGCCUGAUAAAUCCUUUGUGAAAUCAUUGGGCUCAACUCAAUGACGGGCAGAGGAGACUGUCAGGCUUGGAACCGGGAGGAGUCAGAAGUAUUCCAGGGGGAGCGGUAAAAUGCUAUAAUCCCUGGAAGACUACCUGUGGCGAAGGCGUCUGACUAGAACGGAUUCGACAGUGAGGGACGAAAGCCAGGGGAGCGAUCCGGAUUAGAUACCCGAGUAGUCCUGGCCGUAAACGCUGCGAGCAAGGUGUUGCAUAUUCUACGUGAAUAUGCAGUGUCGAAAUGAAGAUGUUAAGCUCGCCGCCUGGGAAGUAUAGUCGCAAGACCGAAACUUAAAGGAAUUGGCGGGGGAGCACUACAAGGGGUGCGGCGUGCGGUUUAAUCUAAUUCAACGCAGAGAAUCUCACCAGAGGCGACGGCAGAAUGAAGGUCAGGUUGAAGACUUUACCCGACGAGCCGAGAGGUAGUGCAUGGCCGCCGUCAGCUCGUGCCGUAAGGUGUCCUGUUAAGUCAGGUAACGAGCGAGACCUGUGCUUAUAAUUGCUAACAAGCCUAUCAGGUGAUUGAGCACAUUAUAAGGACUGCCCUGGAAACAGGGAGGAAGGUGCAGGCAACGGUAGGUCUGUAUGCUCCGAAUCCUCUGGGCUACACGCGCGCAACAAUGGUACGGACAAAGGGAUACAACUCCGAAAGGAGAAGUUAAACCUCUAAACCCUACCCUAGUACAGAUUGAGGAUUGUAACUCAUCCUCAUGACGAUGGAAUCCCUAGUAAUCGGAAGUUAUCAUCUUCCGGUGAAUAUGUCCCUGCUCCUUGCACACACCGCCCGUCAAACCACUCGAGCAGGGUUUAGGUGAGCAUUAGCCUUUUAGUUGAUGCGAAUCUAAGCUCAGUGAGAUGGGUUAAGUCGUCACAAGGUA